Molecule: long non-coding RNA, 2958 nt
Organism: Phyllostomus discolor (pale spear-nosed bat)
Lineage: Eukaryota; Metazoa; Chordata; Mammalia; Chiroptera; Phyllostomidae
Exons: 2
Source: RefSeq, a predicted model, not a curated record
CUGCCCCGUCCUGCGCAGUCCUGGGGACCUGGGAAAUGUGGACUUUGCUUCCUUGAGGAGUGGGUGUUGAAGGGAUGAGUCAGUCCUAUGGAAACUGAGACUAGAGGUUGCAACAAAGAACAGUUUCUUUGAAGUAUAUGGCUGUCCUCAUUGGAGGUGGAACAAACAGAGCACAGGCAGCCAACCAGGGUGGAGUCAAAGGUCAUGGCACUGGUUGCCCCUCCUUGCUCCCCGAUGAGCUCUUCCCUCGCCCCUUAGCCUAGUCCUGCCCAUGUUCUUCUUCUGAAACGUGUGUUCUGGCCUUGGCUCUGAGCUGCUCGUCUGUCCUGUUGACGCUGGGAGCAGGGAUGGUAGCGUCAGCUCAGUUGUCAUCCUAGGUCCCCGCCUGCUGGUGGUUGGAGUCAUGUGGUGAUGUGUGUGGCAGCUUCCUUUUCUACGAUGUGUCACAGAGUGGAAAGAUCUCAGUCUGUAGCUUUGGAUCAACCCCUUGCCCUUUAUGACAUCAUCAUCUUGGAGGAAGCCCUUCCGUCUCUGAGCCUCCCUAUCUCCGUCUUUGAAACGGGAGCGCUGACUUCUUUCUUACCCUCCCGAGUAUGAAAUAGGACAAUACUUGGUAAAUUCUCAGGAGCUAUGCAAAUUUAAUGAACUGCUGUGCUAAAUUCCACGUGACUAAUCUCUAGCUCUUUCCCUGGCUCUAAAAUGGAGUUGCAAUCAUCGUUAGCACAACCUCAUUGGGUUAUUUUGAGAAUUAAAUGAGAAAAUGCAUGUCAAGUACACACCCAGGGUCCAGCACAGGGUGAGCCUCUCACAUCUCAGCCAGUGUGAGAUGCUGCUGUUGACAUUAUUUAAUUUCAUUAUUUUACCUUACUUUGUUUUGUUCUUGGCCCUGGGUUCUGCCAAUCCCGCAUGGUGCCAUGAGUUCCUGGACAGGUGGCAUUUUCCCUCCCUCUCAUCGUAGUGUCCUGAGGACAGUGACGAAGUUCUCCCAGCCAUCUCCCUAGGCUGGCAGCACUGUUGAGACAGCGUUUAUUUUGGAACCAUCUCAGAUGUAUGGUAAAGUGACGAAGACAGGACAGAGAGCUCCCACACAGCCCUCCCUCGUCUCUGCUGUUACCAUCUUACUGGCAUGGGUGCAUUCUCAUGCAGUAAAUUCCGGACUUUAUCAGAUUUUACCAGUUCUUCCAUGAACUGUUUCAGGGCCCCAUCCAGGCUCCCACAUGUGGUUGUUGUGUCCCUAGUCUCCUGGGAUCCGUGACAGUUUCCCAGUCUCAUCUCCUUGCCCAGGACUUGGCUGUCCCCAUGCUAGCCGCCAUACAGUGUCCUACAGGCCUCACCUGCCUGUUGCUUCCUUGUGAUGAGAUGGGUUAUACGAUUCACAGCUUGCUUUAGUUUUUAUUUCCUUUUCCUCCUGCUUUAACCUGAGUGUUUCAGGGGAUGUUGUAAGGAAAAUAAGUUCAGUAAAUGAAGACAGAGGCUUCGGAGAUGGAAACUUUCUUGGAAAUAAAAAAGAUCAUACUUAACAUUAAUUCCACAGACUGUGCUUUGGACUCACUGACAGUUUCAAAAGUAAGAUGUCAGUUUCAACAGUUUACGCCCUGCGGGUCCUGUGUUGGGGAGAGUGCUAGCUAGUCCUGAUUAAAUGGUGGUCGUGAUGCUUCUGUGUUGGGAGGAAGCUUCGUCUGCUUUUACUCUGGAUCUAGUUACAGCUGAGUGUAGAUCUUUAGUAAUUUACUCUUUGAACCAAAAAUGCAUGGUGUCAGUCACAUCUGUGCAUUUUCCCCUAUGAAUAAUUUUAAUCAGAAACCCUUUUGUCUGUAGGUUGGUUGCCUUCCAGUUACUCUGGCAAAUGCCCGGGUUCGGCUGCUUUCCUACUUUCCUCCGGGUCUGGUGGAGGUUGCAGACACUGGCUACGCAUUCACAGGAUUCCAGGAAUACCUUUUUGGUUUCUUGAGAGGUGGGCCUGCUUACAGGCAGUGUGUUCCUUGCUAAGUGGUUUUUUUUUUUUUUUUUUUUUUUCCCCUACACAGCUAUUUGGAUAACAAACUGGGCAUUAGGUGUUACAUACUCUCCUUUUCCUGUUUCCUCCUCUGUGAGCCUGGCCCCAUCCAAGUCUAGACCCCGCCUGAGUAUAGGCCUUGACUGUGUUCAUCCCUGAACUGUGUGUUCUGAGCCUCAGUUUCCCCUUCUAUAAAAUGGGGCCAGUGACAGGGGCUCCUGCAGGGAGACGUGAUGGGGACUGAAUGGGUCCACGUGUGGAAAGCCCUUGGACUCGUGCUUGGAAUGAAGGAAGACAUCAGUCAGCUUCGGUUAUUAUUGCUGUUGUUAUUGUUUGGGGGAACUUAUGUGUUCAAUAAUUAUCUGUUUAAGAAAUGAAGAAAUAUGGUCUAUUUUUCCCUUGGAAAAAUAUCCUUGUGCUGAGAUGCGUAAGCCUUCUUAUUGAGGGCAAUAAGCAUUAACUCAGGCUUUCUCAGCCUUGGCACUGUGGACUUUUGGGGCCAUGUAAUUCUUUCUGGUCUGGGCUGUCCUGGGACUAGACGGGUGCGCAGCAGCAUCCCUGGCCUCUGACGGCAGAUGACUGCAGCAUCUUCCAGGUUCGACAACCAAAGUUGUCUCCAGACUUUGUCAGACAUCCCCUGGGGGGUAUAGUUGCUCCCUAAUGAGAACCACUGACGACACUAGUGUACAUGUGAAAAGAGGGAAAACAUGGAAAGAAAAUUUUUUCCCUCUUGUAUACUUUCUUCUUUUCAACUCGCCCUAUAUUCCUUCUUUGAAUAAAAACCUGACAUUUUUUUUUCAGGGAGUUUUAUGCCCGGCCCUCCAAGGCUUUGGUUGUAGAGUCUAACUUCUAGAAUAUUUCCAUUUUCUACUGUUACUACUAUGCUAGCGUAUGGCUCUUUCUCCCAGGAAAGCAAGUUUCAUUUUCUUUUUAUAGCAGACAUGUAUGUGUGUUUUAAAAGG